AAUCCCAGGAGACAGGCAUCCAGAAUAGUCAGGGUUAGGUAGUAAAGGAGUUGGAAAAUGGAAAGCUAGUGAUGAUGUAAUGUUCCAGCUCCUGAAGCUUCAGAACUUAGCAGCUUUGGUCAUUAGGCUCUGGCUGUAUAUUCAAGAGGACAAAUUGAUGCUGGUUAGCUGGAGCUAAGAAAUUAGUGGUGAUUAAGAAGAGACCAGCGGGCUGGUGAGAUGGCUCAGUGGGUAAGAGCACCCAACUGCUCUUCCGAAGGUCUGGAGUUCAAAUCCCAGCAACCACAUGGUGGCUCACAACCAUCUGUAACGAGAUCUGACUCCCUCUUCUGGAGUGUCUGAAGACAGCUACAGUGUACUUACAUAUAACCAAUAAAUAAAUCUUUAAAAAAAAAGAGAGAGAGAAAUGGUUCUUAACUACUGAGCCAUCUCUCCC
This 436-nucleotide long non-coding RNA is filed under the name Mus musculus (house mouse). Its description in RNAcentral is "long non-coding RNA chr15:80244789-80245225". Lineage: Eukaryota; Metazoa; Chordata; Mammalia; Rodentia; Muridae. The record is from RNAcentral.